Molecule: long non-coding RNA, 699 nt
Organism: Condylostylus longicornis
Lineage: Eukaryota; Metazoa; Arthropoda; Insecta; Diptera; Dolichopodidae
Exons: 2
Source: RefSeq, a predicted model, not a curated record
CAAACGGAUGCUUUCCACCAUCUGAAGAAAGUUAUUAAUCUAGUAAGUCGAGAUUAAUAAUCUCGUUAAUUAUGCUGAGUGAAAUAUAUAUACAUAAUCAAGAUGAAAAGGCUGCACUUCCAAACUUGACAGUUUCAACAAAAACAACAACAACACUUGAAUCUGCUGUCAAGUCGUAGUUUUUGAUAGACAUUAACCUCAGAAUUAGAAAAUAAAACAAAUUUGAAGUGCUGCUUAGAAGUUGAAUCUUUACUUGGUGUAAUACAAUUUAAUCACAUAGGAGCGUAUUUUUUUUACAACUAGCCAAUUUUGAAAUGGAUCUUUGUAUUCACGUUUCAACACAAAAAAGCAAAUUAAUUCAACCAAAAUAGAUGUUUCGGGCCCGUAGAUGAUUGCGCAGAAGACUGACGAAAAUUUUUAAAAUAUAACAAAACUAUGGUCGUACAUUCUUUUCAAAACUUAGUUCUAAAUCUGAACUCGUCAAAAAAAUGGCUACCACUAUUUAAACAUAUACUGCUGAAAUCGCUGCGCAUCAAGAGCACAUGAUAAUUUCAAGCGAAUCCUUAUUUUUUUGACAUAACUAUUUUGUAUUUUUUGUAUUCAUAAAGCUUUUCUUUUUUUAAUGUUCAAAACUAAUUUUGAUAAAAAAAAGGGAUUUAAAAUAUAAUUUGAUGGCAAAGUAACUGCAAAAGCACACCA